Long non-coding RNA from Mastomys coucha (southern multimammate mouse), 810 nucleotides. RefSeq lists it as uncharacterized. NCBI's taxonomy places the organism in Eukaryota, Metazoa, Chordata, Mammalia, Rodentia, Muridae. The record is from RefSeq and is a predicted model, not a curated record. The transcript is spliced from 2 exons.
GGACUAGGAUGGUCAAGUAUACUUCGGUCUUCAAAGGAAGCAAUGGGCCAAAGAGAAGAAGGGAUACAACAAGCACUCCCCAGGACUCAACGGGUUUUAAACGCAGAGAGGCAAAAAAGCAGACCUAUUUUCCUGGAAAACAGAUAGGCCUAUGACAGAAAAUUACCAAGUGAGAACGAGCAGAGGCCAGUUGGUCAACAACAGGUGUUGAUAACUUCUGCGUGCAAAGAUCUUCAGGGAGGCACAGAGGAAGAAGAGGCCAGUAAGCCUUGCCCUUACACACUAUGGUCUAGUGGGAUAACAUAACCACACCCAUGGGGGGCGGAAUAGUGUAGCAAGACUUGCUGGAAAAUGAAGAUGCAAAGGACAAAGGGCAAAGUGGAGUGUGGAAGGGGGAACUUGGGACUCCCUGGAAGCAUCCACACCAUCAAAGAAACAAGACAGAAACAAACAGCCCCUCCCCUUUCUCCCUAGGAAGUUGAAAGUUCAUUCUCAGAGUCUAAAAAGGCAAGAGUUUAAGGCUUCUGAUUUCUCUUGUGAUCUUUUCCAGCCACAUCACUCACUGUCCAGAAAAGGAUGCUGUACUGUAUCCUAUGGUACAAACUAAAUCAGGGAUUUAGAUAGGAUUCUAUAGGAAUGGAGAUAGGAAUCAACAGACUGUCAUCCAACCCUGGAACCCUUUGUCUUUCAGAUGCUCUGAUGGGAGGACCAGAGACAGGCAGCUACCUACUGACUUUUUACCCUCUCAGAGCUCUGGUGUGAAAAUACCAGGCUCAACACUUGACAGUUAAAGUGGUCACAGUUAAGUUC